This 253-nucleotide ribosomal RNA is filed under the name uncultured bacterium. Its description in RNAcentral is "partial 16S ribosomal RNA". It matches the Rfam family "Bacterial small subunit ribosomal RNA", at positions 524 to 776 of the family's 1533-position model. The record is from RNAcentral.
UACGUAGGUGGCAAGCGUUAUCCGGAUUUAUUGGGUGUAAAGGGCGUGUAGGCGGGAGCGCAAGUCAGAUGUGAAAACUCAGGGCUCAACCCUGAGCCUGCAUUUGAAACUGUGUUUCUUGAGUGCUGGAGAGGCAAUCGGAAUUCCGUGUGUAGCGGUGAAAUGCGUAGAUAUACGGAGGAACACCAGUGGCGAAGGCGGAUUGCUGGACAGUAACUGACGCUGAGGCUCGAAAGCGUGGGGAGCAAACAGG